Cucumis melo (muskmelon) is the source of this 1263-nucleotide long non-coding RNA. RefSeq lists it as uncharacterized. NCBI's taxonomy places the organism in Eukaryota, Viridiplantae, Streptophyta, Magnoliopsida, Cucurbitales, Cucurbitaceae. The record is from RefSeq and is a predicted model, not a curated record. The transcript has 2 exons.
GGAAACAGGAAAUGGUUGGUUGUGAUGGAGAAAGAAGACGUCGGCAAUUGUCUAGUUGCGAUGGAGAAUGAAGACGCCGGAAGUUGUCUGGUUGCGAUGGGAAAAGAAGACGUCGACAGCCGUCUGAAUGUGAAGGAGAAAGAAAACGCCGGCAAGUGGCGAUCUACGGUGGUUCGAGAAGGUGAUCUCGAAUAGGGGUGAAUCGUGUGAAGAGGAAGAAGAAGUUGCUUACGUGAUGCAGUCAAUGACGUGGCGGGAAGUGAUAAGGAAAAGGGUUAGGGCAAGAGAAAUAAACCUCCUAAAUCUUAGGUCUUUCUAUUUCAAGUGAGCUUCAGCUUAUUUUAAAUGAGCUUCAACUUAUUCUAAAUAAAAUAGUAGAGGCCCAUCAUUUUGUAGAUGAAGUGGGUGGUGAGUUCCAAAAAGGGGAGAGAGUUCUUAUUAUGGGCUUUAUUGAUUAUGGGCCUAACCCACGGGAGAAGAAGAGUUUGAAAAUUAAAUACUUGGUGGUGAUAUGCAAAGGAUUAAGUAUAACAACGUAUUUGGGAAAAGGAUGAUUCAGCAACAUUCGGCUGGUUUGUGGGCUGAAGGAAAAUUAUCUUGGGCAAUGGGCUGAAGUCAAUGGGUCUUAUUGGAGCCAAGCCAGCUUCAAAUUUAUUUCUCAAACUUGAUGGGCAUAUUGCUGAGAAUGGUUGGUAAUUAAUAAAAGAAAAAAAAAAGGUCAAUUUUGUGAUCAUAUUUGUAAGCACACCUCGGGACAAGUUGUUUUUGAAGACCCAGGUAAUACUCCAUACCUAGAUUAGUAUAGGGUAGGGGUAUAAAGGUAAUUAGAUAUGUAGGCAGUUAGAUGAUUUAUAAAUAGGAAGUUGGGGAGGAAAGAAAGGGAGAUCAGUUUGGUGGGUAGUUUUCUUCUGCACUCUUCCUUGAGAGAGAGGAUAGGCAAAGAGGGUAGUAUUUUACUUGUUCUUAGUUAAUUUCUACAUUUUCAUCUCAGAAUUGAUAUUCAUCAAUUCUUCUCUGCAAUAGUGAGGUUUAUAUCAAUUGAAUAAGAACACAUCUUACUGGUGUUCUGUCAUUUGAUUCCCUAAGUUUUGCAUUAUUAAUUAGUUUUUAGUUUUUUCUUUUUUCAAUAUUUGUGGGUGUGGCCGCCAACUUAUGCAUACUCCACCUAAUCUUACGAGACAACUUGUUUGACCUUACAACAUUUGGAUGUCAAGAAAAUUCGUAGGAUAUUAAAUCGCAGAUAGCUGACCACCAUAGAUUGAA